Molecule: ribosomal RNA, 1346 nt
Filed under: uncultured bacterium
Lineage: Bacteria
Description: partial 16S ribosomal RNA
Rfam family: Bacterial small subunit ribosomal RNA
Source: RNAcentral
GACGAACGCUGGCGGCGUGCUUAACACAUGCAAGUCGAACGGAAAGGCCCUGCUUUUGUGGGGUGCUCGAGUGGCGAACGGGUGAGUAACACGUGAGUAACCUGCCCUUGACUUUGGGAUAACUUCAGGAAACUGGGGCUAAUACCGGAUAGGAGCUCCUGCUGCAUGGUGGGGGUUGGAAAGUUUCGGCGGUUGGGGAUGGACUCGCGGCUUAUCAGCUUGUUGGUGGGGUAGUGGCUUACCAAGGCUUUGACGGGUAGCCGGCCUGAGAGGGUGACCGGCCACAUUGGGACUGAGAUACGGCCCAGACUCCUACGGGAGGCAGCAGUGGGGAAUAUUGCACAAUGGGCGGAAGCCUGAUGCAGCAACGCCGCGUGCGGGAUGACGGCCUUCGGGUUGUAAACCGCUUUCGCCUGUGACGAAGCGUGAGUGACGGUAAUGGGUAAAGAAGCACCGGCUAACUACGUGCCAGCAGCCGCGGUGAUACGUAGGGUGCGAGCGUUGUCCGGAUUUAUUGGGCGUAAAGGGCUCGUAGGUGGUUGAUCGCGUCGGAAGUGUAAUCUUGGGGCUUAACCCUGAGCGUGCUUUCGAUACGGGUUGACUUGAGGAAGGUAGGGGAGAAUGGAAUUCCUGGUGGAGCGGUGGAAUGCGCAGAUAUCAGGAGGAACACCAGUGGCGAAGGCGGUUCUCUGGGCCUUUCCUGACGCUGAGGAGCGAAAGCGUGGGGAGCGAACAGGCUUAGAUACCCUGGUAGUCCACGCUGUAAACGGUGGGUACUAGGUGUGGGGUCCAUUCCACGGGUUCCGUGCCGUAGCUAACGCUUUAAGUACCCCGCCUGGGGAGUACGGCCGCAAGGCUAAAACUCAAAGGAAUUGACGGGGCCCCGCACAAGCGGCGGAGCAUGCGGAUUAAUUCGAUGCAACGCGUAGAACCUUACCUGGGUUUGACAUGGAUCGGGAGUGCUCAGAGAUGGGUGUGCCUCUUUUGGGGUCGGUUCACAGGUGGUGCAUGGCUGUCGUCAGCUCGUGUCGUGAGAUGUUGGGUUAAGUCCCGCAACGAGCGCAACCCUUGUUCACUGUUGCCAGCACGUUAUGGUGGGGACUCAGUGGAGACCGCCGGGGUCAACUCGGAGGAGGGUGGGGAUGACGUCAAGCCAUCAUGCCCCUUAUGUCCAGGGCUUCACGCAUGCUACAAUGGCUGGUACAGAGAGUGGCGAGCCUGUGAGGGUGAGCGAAUCUCGGAAAGCCGGUCUCAGUUCGGAUUGGGGUCUGCAACUCGACCUCAUGAAGUCGGAGUCGCUAGUAAUCGCAGAUCAGCAACGCUGCGGUGAAUACGUUCCCGGGGCU